GACGAACGCUGGCGGCGUGCUUAACACAUGCAAGUCGAACGGAAAGCGCUUUUCGGAGUGACUCGAGUGGCGAACGGGUGAGUAACACGUGGGUGAUCUGCCCUGCACUUUGGGAUAAGCCUGGGAAACAGGGUCUAAUACCGGAUAGGACUACGGCCUGCGUGGGUUGUGGUGGAAAGCUUUUGCGGUGUGGGAUGGGCCCGCGGCCUAUCAGCUUGUUGGUGGGGUGAUGGCCUACCAAGGCGACGACGGGUAGCCGGCCUGAGAGGGUGUCCGGCCACACUGGGACUGAGAUACGGCCCAGACUCCUACGGGAGGCAGCAGUGGGGAAUAUUGCACAAUGGGCGCAAGCCUGAUGCAGCGACGCCGCGUGAGGGAUGACGGCCUUCGGGUUGUAAACCUCUUUCAGCACAGACAAAGCGCAAGUGACGGUAUGUGCAGAAGAAGCACCGGCCAACUACGUGCCAGCAGCCGCGGUAAUACGUAGGGUGCGAGCGUUGUCCGGAAUUACUGGGCGUAAAGAGCUCGUAGGUGGUUUGUCGCGUUGUUCGUGAAAACUCACAGCUUAACUGUGGGCGUGCGGGCGAUACGGGCAGACUGGAGUACUGCAGGGGAGACUGGAAUUCCUGGUGUAGCGGUGGAAUGCGCAGAUAUCAGGAGGAACACCGGUGGCGAAGGCGGGUCUCUGGGCAGUAACUGACGCUGAGGAGCGAAAGCGUGGGGAGCGAACAGGAUUAGAUACCCUGGUAGUCCACGCCGUAACGGUGGGUACUAGGGUGUGGGUUUCCUUCCUUGGGAUCCGUGCCGUAGCUAACGCAUUAAGUACCC
Molecule: ribosomal RNA, 828 nt
Filed under: uncultured Actinomycetes bacterium
Lineage: Bacteria; Bacillati; Actinomycetota; Actinomycetes
Description: bacterial SSU rRNA
Rfam family: Bacterial small subunit ribosomal RNA
Source: RNAcentral